AGUGAACGCUGGCGGUAGGCCUAACACAUGCCAGUCGAACGGCAGCACAGUAAGAGCUUGCUCUUACGGGUGGCGAGUGGCGGACGGGUGAGGAAUACAUCGGAAUCUACUUUUUCGUGGGGGAUAACGUAGGGAAACUUACGCUAAUACCGCAUACGACCUACGGGUGAAAGCAGGGGAUCUUCGGACCUUGCGCGAUUGAAUGAGCCGAUGUCGGAUUAGCUAGUUGGCGGGGUAAAGGCCCACCAAGGCGACGAUCCGUAGCUGGUCUGAGAGGAUGAUCAGCCACACUGGAACUGAGACACGGUCCAGACUCCUACGGGAGGCAGCAGUGGGGAAUAUUGGACAAUGGGCGCAAGCCUGAUCCAGCCAUACCGCGUGGGUGAAGAAGGCAUUCGGGUUGUAAAGCCCUUUUGUUGGGAAAGAAAAGCAGCAGGUUAAUACCCCGCUGUUCUGACGGUACCCAAAGAAUAAGCACCGGCUAACUUCGUG
Molecule: ribosomal RNA, 492 nt
Filed under: uncultured bacterium
Lineage: Bacteria
Description: partial 16S ribosomal RNA
Rfam family: Bacterial small subunit ribosomal RNA
Source: RNAcentral